Molecule: long non-coding RNA, 4618 nt
Filed under: Glycine max (soybean)
Lineage: Eukaryota; Viridiplantae; Streptophyta; Magnoliopsida; Fabales; Fabaceae
Description: long non-coding RNA (GMAX_LNC000643)
Source: RNAcentral
UUGUUCAUUGCGCACAUUAUAAGUUUGGUGUGCCUCAAUGUAUCCCUUUGUGCUCAAUUGGAUUAAAAUUUAAACAACAGCCGUGAUAUCAAUUGUGCCUCAUAACAAAAACAUAAUUUUGUUUAGUCUUAUGCAUUAAGUGAUCAUAGACUUGUUUUCCUUUUUUAGUUUGGCAAUGUAUCUAUUAAGAGAGUGAUAUUUUGUUUAUAAUCUAUUAUUUAUUCCUCUCAUUCUGAAAAGCUAUUAAGCGUGAGAUAAAAAAUAUGGUUUGUUUCGAUUUUCAUUCUUUUAGUUGUAGACUUGUAGUGCUCUGCAGGGUAAGCUUAAUUAUAUCUAUAUUUUCCUUUCAAUAUUUUUGUUGAAUAAUAUUUGAUACAUAAGAGGGUGAACCCUGGCACAGCGGUAAAGUUGUGUCUUGGUGACUGGUUGGUCAUGGGUUCAAUUCUGGAACAGCCUCUUUGCAUAUGCAAGGAUAAGGCUGCGCACAAUUACCCUUCCCCAUAUCUUCGCUCUACGAGGAGCCAGCCUCCGGGCACUAGAAUGUUCUUCAACAUAUUUUGAUGGUUGUGCUGUGCUGUUGGGGCUAUAGAAGCUUGAAAAGUUUGGUGCUUUCUAAUCUUACCAAGUUCCUGAAUUGUGUGCUGUUCAUAUGCCUUUAUGGAACAGAAAUAUUGUUGUGUUACUUGGCUUGCUGACUUGAUUUUUGAAGUAUUGCUUUCAGUGUCUAUACUUUCUGAAUGUUAGUUAUUCUGCCUUGUGUUCAUGAAACUGCUGCUUGUUUUUAGGUACCAACACAUGGGAUAGAUUUGAACUUCGUGUCCACAAGAGAGUGAUUGACCUCUACAGUUCCCCAGAUGUGGUUAAGCAGAUUACCUCUAUCACAAUCGAACCUGGUGUGGAAGUUGAGGUGACCAUUGCAGAUGCUUGAUCUAUAUCCAAAUUUUAACUGUUAUGGUUUCCUAGUUUUUCGUCUCCUCUUAUUCUGUAUUUUAUAAGUUUUGAUUGCGGGACCGAGUUGAAUUGUUUUCUUUUGUUUUACGGUUGUAGACGGUUGAUGAAUACCUGAGAAAUGUCAUUUUUAUAUAUUCUAGAAUCCUACAUAUAUUUGUUUUGAAAUUAUUACGAAUCAUUUCUAAUGGACUCAGCUAAGAUUAUAUCUUUUCCUUUUCCUUUAUCAUGUUCUGCAAAUUUUUAAACCUGAAACUGAUUGUGAACUAGAUAAGUUGGAAAGGUGUUUUUGCAAAUUUGUACAAUUUCAAAUUUUACAAAGAUAAAAGCGAGGAAAAAAAGAAAAUAUAAAGCACUUCUAAACAAAGAAAAACAAUAUAUAUGGUGGAGAAAAUUUGUAAAUAUGUAGAAGGGAUUUCUGAUUUCUUUGUCAACAAUUGGACGAGACUUUUCUUUGCAUACAUUUUUGGAAUGCAAGUGCAAUCGCAAAAAGCUGUACUCAAGUCAAAGGAUUUUUUCUAUUGCUCAAAUGAGCAUUCAUGCUCCUAGGUGCUCAUUGGUUGGGUAUUUACAUAAUCAUAAUUAAUAAAUAAAUUAAAUUGUAAGUGAGUAUUAUAUAUAUAACUAGGUUAUAAUUUGCUAUAAUCUGUUAUUGUUUUUAAAGUAUGAGUAUAUAAUCAGUUUCGAAUAAACUAAUUAUAUAAUAAGUUAUAUUUAAAAUAAUUAUAUAAUUUGUCAUGAAUAAAUAAAAUAAGUUAUUUAAAAUAAUCAUAAAUAUAAAAUUAGUUAUAGUUUUAUACCCCAUUUUAUAUAAUUAGUUAUAUAAAACUAGUUGCAGUUGUUUUUUAUAAAUAAAAUAAAAAAAUAGCAGUCAUACAUGCUCCCUUUAUAGCUUUAUUAUAUAAGAAGCAUUCUAUGUUUACAGUGAAGUGUGAAGUUGUUUAGAGUUAAAACUCAAAACUGGGUGAACCUAGCAAGCGAGUUCAUCUCCUCAGCAGUAAAGUUGAGUUUUUUUUGUUAUAUAAAAUAAGUUCUUUAUUAAUUUAUAAAAGUAAAUAAUUAUAUAUCACUUGACCAAUACAAAAAUCAUAUAUCAUAUUAUAUAAGUUUCUCAACCUGUCCCACGCCUCAUGAGAAAGUGCAGACUUAUUUAUCAGCUAAUAUUUAUGAAUGGCCUCUAAUUUGUUUUUUUUUUCUUCUAAAUUGAUCUCUUCAUUUUUUAAUUCCUAAAAGAAUUCCCUUAUUUUUUUUUAAUGACACGCUAGUCUUUUUAAAAAAAUUGUUUUUUUUUCAAUUUUCGAACACAAUGUUAAAUGUUUUUUUAUUAAUUCAAUAUGUGAAACUUGUUCCAAUGUAUUCAUCUAGAAUUAAUUAAUGUUUAAAACAAAAGCAAGUAAACAGCCAUAAAUAAAUGUGAUGAGAAUUGCUGAGUCUCAUCAAUAACCAUAAAACUAAAAAUAAGGUUCACUUUUCAUCAAGUUUACUUUUUUAUUGCUUAUAUGACUUACUUUUCGUGUAACUUUUACCAUGUGUUGUUAUGAUGCUUUGUGUAUAACAGUUGAUUUCUAUAGUUUUAGUGAAUUUAAAAUAAAAUUUAUGUCUUGAAUUAAUAAAAAAAUAUUUAAAAUUGUAUUCAAAAUAUUGAAAAAGAAAAAUGUUUCAAAAGGAGCAAGGUAUCAUUAAUUAAGUAUGUAAGGGUAUUAUUUUAGAGCUUUUAAAAUUUAGAAAAUCAAUUUAAAAACAAAAAAUAAGUUAAGGACCAUACAUAUAUUUUAGAAAAAAAAUUAUACAUUGAUAACAUAAAUUUUUUACGCAAUAAUUCAAUCAUAUUAUAUAUGAUAAGUGUAUGUACUCUUAAAAUAAGUCACUUACGAUGAGAUAAUAUUAAAUUCUAUAUUUUAACCUCAUUUAUUUGUUUAGUUAGUUAUUAAAAUUGCAUUGGGAGCGAAUGGGGCAAGUAAGGAAAUAAUAUGAUUCAUUGGGGGGUAAUUUGCAAAAUUUGACGGAAGCUCUUGGGGGUUCUGCUUAUUUUUGCCCUAAAAACCCUCUAGGUUUUCUAUACCUCUCUCAUUUCCCAACGCAGCAGCAGCGGCAGCUUCAUCUGUUUUUCUGCAUCGGCGUGAACAAUGGCGACGUACGCUGCGAUGAAGCCCAAUAAGCCUGGCUUGGAGGAGUCCCAAGAACAGAUCCACAAGAUAAGGAUCACCCUUUCCUCCAAGCACGUCAAAAAUCUCGAGAAGGGUAUGAAGCUAUUCAUUCUACUUUUUCUUUUUAAGGUUGUCGCUGUCCUUAGGCUUAUGUUUCGAUUUUCAUGUUACUGUUAGUUUGUGGGGACUUGGUUCGUGGUGCAAAGGAUAAGAGGCUCAGGGUUAAGGGACCUGUCAGGAUGCCCACUAAGGUUCUUCACAUCACUACCAGGAAGUCCCCCUGUGGUGAAGGUAUUUUUUUCACUCUUUCCACGCUUGUUAUUAUGGUUAAUUUGCCCCUUUUAUUCUCUGCUUUUCAUUCAUGUUCAUUAUUGGCAAAUGUUAGUUUUUUGAAGGUUAGUUUUGUUAGCAGAGGGGUCGAAACCGCGACCUUUCCCUCUUCCCUUGUCCCUUAACCAUUCAACCCACGUUUUUAGUUUUUUCUGUGUUGUAAUUUUAAUAUGCCUGUCCUUUGUAUAAGUUGUAGUUUUAGAGAAAGUCAAGGCGAAAGUAGUGACCGAAAAUAUCUCCUAGGUGGUGAAAUGUCAAAGAUGAGGAACCAUGGAAAAGAACUUGCUUAUGAAAAAGAACUUUGUCAAUUGUCUUUUGCAAUAUCUCUUAGUUUGCAAGGUCUGGAUUGUGCUAAAGGGAAAGCUUGGGAGGUUAAGAGAGUUAUGUUGUUUUUAUAAAUAUGAAUAAGGGAUUAUUGGGAGGUUUCGAUGAUUAUCUGUUAUUUAUUUUUUCAUUCUGAAAAAGUAUCAAUUGUGUAAAAAAAAUGUGUUUUGUUUCGUUUUUCAUUUUUUUUUUUUUUUGAAGAGCAGGGCAAAUUGUUCAAGUUAUUUCUCUAUUGUUCUCAAUUUAUUUUAAUUGAAUGACAUUUGGAACUUAAAUCAGAAUGUUCUUCAACAAAUUGUGGUGUAAAUUGAGUGUCCUAUGCACAUGGUUUGCAGAAUUGUCUCUUCUGAGUUUUGUCAUUUGUUAUCAUGUGAUUGAUUUUAUGUGACUUGUGGGCAUAGGCAUUCUUGCAAUCUAAAACAUGGAAAAACUGCUGUUGCAGCUAAUUGUGUGUUCAUAUGUUUUCUACGGAACACAAAUACAAUUAUAUUAGUUAGCUUGUUUAUUUGAUUUUUGAACUAUUGUGUUCAAUGUAUACACUUUCUGAAUGCUGUUUAUUGUUGAUAUUAUUUGAUUUCUGAAUGCCUUGUGUUCAUGAAACUGCCUUUUGUUUUUAGGUACCAACACAUGGGACAGAUUUGAACUUCGUGUGCACAAGAGGGUGAUUGACCUCUACAGUUCCCCAGAUGUGGUUAAGCAGAUUACCUCUAUCACGAUUGAACCUGGUGUGGAGGUUGAGGUGACCAUUGCAGAUGCUUGAUCUGGAUCCAAAUUUUAACUGUUAUGCUUCCUAGUUUUUUUUCCCUCUCUUUUUGUAUUUUGUAAGUUUUGAUUGUGGGACUGAGUUGGAUUGUUUUCUCUAGUUUUAC